GCUUACGCUCAUAUCAUGUUGAAAGCACCUCAUCCCGUUCGAUCUGAGAAGUGAAUCAACUUCAAGCUACCUUAGUACUUGGAUCGGAGACGUCCUGGGGAAUCCGUAGUGGUGUAAGCU
Non-coding RNA from Rhabditophanes sp. KR3021, 120 nucleotides. The record is from Rfam. NCBI's taxonomy places the organism in Eukaryota, Metazoa, Nematoda, Chromadorea, Rhabditida, Alloionematidae.